This is a non-coding RNA of Microcebus murinus (gray mouse lemur), 2764 nucleotides long. The record is from RefSeq and is a predicted model, not a curated record. Lineage: Eukaryota; Metazoa; Chordata; Mammalia; Primates; Cheirogaleidae.
GUAUUAUUUAGAACCUUCUAGCUGGGCAAUUAUGUCAUCCUGUCAUUUUAUGAUCUUAUAGAUCUAGCUCUCUCUCAUAUGAUGACUCUACAUUUUCUCUUAACAAGACACUGUUGCAUUUUCCUCCUUUGCUCCUGCCUUGCUGAAUGCCUUGAGUUAACAUACCCAUAAUGUGAACAAGAUUAUCAAAAAGUAUAACAUAAUUAGAAAAAUCUAUGACAAAUAGAAAGAGUAAUCUUUUUUCUUUUGAAAGUUUCAUUUAUUUUUUCUUUUGGUUUGUUUUGUAGAUAAAGCAUGUACAUUGCCCAGAAGGCAAAACACUAUCACAAAUCAAACAUUGAGAAGUCUUGCUUCCUGUCCCCAUUCUUUUUUAUUUAUCCUUCCAGUAUUUAUCUAUGCAAGUUCAAGCAAAAGAAAUAUAACUAUCUUCUUUCAUCCCCUUUCUUACAUAAAACAUAUUAUAUUCACUCUUAGACAUUUUGGUUUUUUCACUUAAUAAUACAUUUUGGAAAUCACCAUAUAUGAGUACACAAAAGAGCUAUCUUUCCUGUUUUGUUCAGCUUCAUAUUGUUCAAUUAUAGAGUAGAACCAUGGUUUAUUGAACUAAUUUCCUAAUGAGUACACUUGUGGUAUUUUUCAAUAUGUUGCUGUUAUAUGUUGUUAUAUGUUGCUAUUAUAUGCUAUUAAUAUGUUGCUGUUACAGAAAAUGCUGUAAAUUAAUAACAGAUAUCAUUUCAUAUGUAUAUAAUAUGAUAUGUAUAUAAUAUAUAUGUAUAUAAUAUGGAUCUAUGUAGGAUAAAUUCCCCAAAGUGGGAUUCCUAGGUUAAAGGGUACAUGAAUUUGUGUUUUAAAAAAAUAUUGUCACAUUGCCCUCACUAAAAGUCAGACUAUUUAUACACAAACUAGUGAUGUAUUAGAGUGCCUGCUUCCCAACAGCUUCACCAACACAAUGUGUUGUCAAAUGUUGGAUUUUUAAAUACUCUGAUAGGGAAAAUGGUAUACAGAGUGAUUUUAAUUUGCAUAAAGAGGCUUUUAAAAAAGAGUUGGAAAGUUACAUGCCCAUGAAAAUUUAAGGUAAACUUUGAUAGAAAUGGAUUCUUUAAAGCAUCCCCCAAAUCUGAAGCUUUGCGGUUAGCCAAUAUAUAGAAACUCUUGUAAAUAACAGUUGGCAUUGAAACAAAACAAAAUAUUUUUCUGUAAUCCAAAGCUUUUUGUCAGCCAAGGUCAAGGAAACUUGGCAAUUGCUCACUACUCAGUCUUAAACCAGAGAGAUCAAAUACUGCAUUCCUGAGGACUGGCCUUGAGCUAUCCCACAGCAUUGUCAACUGAAUUUUGUUUAUUGUUGGGCUCCCAUCCGGCCUGCAUAUUAAUAACUCCAAAUUAAUAACUGCAUGUUAAUAAACUCCAAAAGCAAAAUAACACAUAUCUAAUGUCUUGAGAAGAUAUCCUACAGCAAAAUGGCAGAAACAAGAUGAGAUUCAGAAUUGUAGGAAAUUUUUUUCUACAUUGAAUCAAUUAAACUCACUCUUUUCCCCUACCCAAUCCCCAUCCCCAACAUAUACAUCAUUCCCCAGCAGAAGCAUUUCUUUCAAAUUCAGAGAAAUAGAAAUGUAUAGAUUCCAUUCAAUUUUCCUCUUAAUUCUAAAAGUGAAUAAAUCCAUUUUUUUUGUAGAAUGCUAUAUAAAAUAUGUACUGUGAAUAUAUGUUAUAAAAACUACUAUACCAAAUACCAUCUGAUAUUUAUUUUGGUAAGACCCCAAACCUCAUUUAAUUUAAAUAUACACUGUGCUUCAGUUUGUUCAUCAGUAAAAUGGUAAUGAUGCUGAUACCCAUCUCAUAGGGUUUUUUGGUGGAGAUUAAAGUCAAAACAUGUAAAGCACCUAGAAGAGUGCUUGGCAUAGAGUAAACAAUACAUGUUCACUAUUAUCAUAUUUAUUCUUUUGUUAGUAAGAAAUUUCCUGUGGCCAUAGAAUCUUUGGACAUGGUGCCCAUGGUGCACCAUGUAAGCAUAAUAUACAUCAUUUCUAUAUGUUGAGGAAAGUCUUGAAACCUUAAUAAUUAAUGUGCAGUGGUCAAAAGCAGCUCAGAAAGUAAGAGGAUGGAAAGAACUCUCCAAUGGUAAAUGUUAAUGCUGAACUUGUGUGUGAUAUUUAAACCAAAGUGCUGGAGGCAAAAUAAUGGAUGUCCAUGCUGUAAUUCUUGGAACUUGUGAAUAUGCUACUUUACAUAGCAAAAGCGAUUUUGCAGAUAUGACUGGGAGUAGGGAUCCUAGGAUGGGAAAUUGUCUUGGCUUAUCGGGAUGGGCCCAAACUAAUCACAUGAAUUGUUAAAAGCAGAGAAGCUUUCCUGCUGUGAUCAGAGAGAUGUGAUGAUGGAAGAAAGGUUGGAGAAUGCGAGUGAGGACUUGACCAGUCAUUGUUGGCUUUGAAGACAGAGGAAGCCAGCCAAGGAAUACAAGGAGCCUUUAGAAGCCAGAAAAAGCAAGGUGUUUCCUCUGUGUUUAUGGAGAAAUUGGAUUAUUUAAUUGACCUUCCUUUGUUCUGAGACACAUUUUUAAGUGUUCCCUCUGUGUUUAUUGAGAAACUGUUAUUAAUUGUAAGUAAGAUUACUACCUGUGUCAAGUUUCCUAUGUUUAUUAAAUGUUUGAUCUAUUAAUUACUGAGAGAGAGGUAUGUUAAAAAUCUAAUAUGAUUGUAUUAGACAGUCUCGCUCUGUUGCCCAGGCUAGAGUGCAGUGAUGUCAUCAUAGCUCACUGCAACCUCAA